GGGCGAUUAGCUCAGUUGGUUCAGAGCAUCUGGUUUACACCCAGAGGGUCGGGAGUUCGAGUCUCUCAUCGCCCACAA
RNAcentral lists this transfer RNA (78 nucleotides) under Saprospirales bacterium. RNAcentral's name for it is "tRNA-Val". It matches the Rfam family "tRNA". Rfam says of the family: Transfer RNA (tRNA) molecules are approximately 80 nucleotides in length. Lineage: Bacteria; Pseudomonadati; Bacteroidota; Saprospiria; Saprospirales. The record is from RNAcentral.